UACGUAGGUGGCAAGCGUUAUCCGGAAUUAUUGGGCGUAAAGCGCGCGCAGGCGGUUUCUUAAGUCUGAUGUGAAAGCCCACGGCUCAACCGUGGAGGGUCAUUGGAAACUGGGGAGCUUGAGUGCAGAAGAGAAAAGCGGAAUUCCACGUGUAGCGGUGAAAUGCGUAGAGAUGUGGAGGAACACCAGUGGCGAAGGCGGCUUUUUGGUCUGUAACUGACGCUGAGGCGCGAAAGCGUGGGGAGCAAACAGG
RNAcentral lists this ribosomal RNA (253 nucleotides) under uncultured bacterium. RNAcentral describes it as "partial 16S ribosomal RNA". It matches the Rfam family "Bacterial small subunit ribosomal RNA", at positions 524 to 776 of the family's 1533-position model. The record is from RNAcentral.